UACGGAGGAUGCGAGCGUUAUCCGGAUUUAUUGGGUUUAAAGGGUGCGUAGGCGGAUCGUUAAGUAAGUGGUCAAAUUGAGGGGCUCAACCCCUUCCCGCCAUUGAAACUGGCGAUCUUGAGUGGAAGAGAAGUAUGCGGAAUGCGUGGUGUAGCGGUGAAAUGCAUAGAUAUCACGCAGAACCCCGAUUGCGAAGGCAGCAUGCCGGCUUCCUACUGACGCUGAAGCACGAAAGCGUGGGGAUCGAACAGG
This 252-nucleotide ribosomal RNA is filed under the name uncultured bacterium. RNAcentral's name for it is "partial 16S ribosomal RNA". It matches the Rfam family "Bacterial small subunit ribosomal RNA", at positions 524 to 776 of the family's 1533-position model. The record is from RNAcentral.